Molecule: ribosomal RNA, 585 nt
Filed under: uncultured bacterium
Lineage: Bacteria
Description: partial 16S ribosomal RNA
Rfam family: Bacterial small subunit ribosomal RNA
Source: RNAcentral
UGGGGAAUUUUGGACAAUGGGGGCAACCCUGAUCCAGCCAUCCCGCGUGUGCGAUGAAGGCCUUCGGGUUGUAAAGCACUUUUGGCAGGGAAGAAACAGCCUGGGAUAAUACCCCGGGCGACUGACGGUACCUGCAGAAUAAGCACCGGCUAACUACGUGCCAGCAGCCGCGGUAAUACGUAGGGUGCAAGCGUUAAUCGGAAUUACUGGGCGUAAAGCGUGCGCAGGCGGUUCGGAAAGAAAGGUGUGAAAUCCCAGGGCUUAACCUUGGAACUGCACUUUUAACUACCGAGCUAGAGUACGUCAGAGGGGGGUAGAAUUCCACGUGUAGCAGUGAAAUGCGUAGAGAUGUGGAGGAAUACCGAUGGCGAAGGCAGCCCCUGGGAUGAUACUGACGCUCAUGCACGAAAGCGUGGGGAGCAAACAGGAUUAGAUACCCUGGUAGUCCACGCCCUAAACGAUGUCAACUAGCUGUUGGGGUUUAUUAACCUUAGUAGCGCAGCUAACGCGUGAAGUUGACCGCCUGGGGAGUACGGUCGCAAGAUUAAAACGUUAAAUGAAUUGACGGGGGUCAUAGCUGUUUCC